GGGCAGUGUGAGCCUUUGAAGGGACAGGCUUACUACAAGAGGCAUGCAUCCCCUCUGCUCACAUUCGUUUGACUCCACUGACUGAAAGGGAUGAGGAUCUAAGAUGUAGCUUUGUGCCCAACAUAACAGGAGACACACAGAAGCCGAAGAACCUGUAAUUACCACCUUUCACGCUAGGUGGUGGACUCAAGACCAAAAAAAGCUAUUAAAUGGAUGAAUACAUUCGAUUUAGCAAGGUCAAAAGAAAUGGAGAAGAUCAUUUUAAACUUGGAAAGAGGGGCAAGAUGGAGGAGUUGAUGAACAAAAGCAGCCGUUCCCAAGAAAGAACAAUGGCAUUCUCUGUGACCUGAGCACAGCUGGUAACACUGGAUCCUCAAACAUUAACUCCUUCCUGAAGACCCACAUUAACAUUUCCUCUAGCCACAUCUAUAAUCUACAGCAUCUCAGAUAAAUUGAACACCUUGCUUCUUCUUUUUGGUUUAAAAAAAUUUCUUCUAAUUGAAAAAAAUUAUGUUCUUUUAACAUUGAAGAACAGCUCCAGUA
RNAcentral lists this long non-coding RNA (543 nucleotides) under Capra hircus (goat). RNAcentral's name for it is "lncRNA (ENSCHIG00000007399.1)". The record is from RNAcentral. Lineage: Eukaryota; Metazoa; Chordata; Mammalia; Artiodactyla; Bovidae.